GACGAUCACAUAAUUAAGAACUAAUACCACAUUGAGAUAAUAUUCAUUACAAACUCCGUAAACUAAAACACCCAAAUAAAAUAAAAUCGAUUCAACAACAUGAGGUCGAAUCAAAAUACAAAUAAUUUUAGUAACUGCUUUCUCAAACACUAAUGUAACCACUCGUCUAGUAAAGUUGCUCUUGAAUAAAUUUACACUUUCAUGUACCUGUUGAAGAAAAAAAACAAUUUUAGAACAUACUUUUUGAUGAACAAGAUUUAGCCAAAAAAUGACAUAUCAUAUUUUAAUUAGUAAAACAAAUAAUAGAAUGACAAAUUAGUACUGGUAGAAAGAUGCUUACUCGAAGUUAGACAAUAAAUAUUAAUUCUUCUUUGACCGCAAAUAACCACAAGAAUUAAGAAGAAGAGAUAUAAAAUUAAGAGUACUUAAUCUCUCAAAAAAUAAAGAAUAAUAGACAAAUUUCUUCAUACCUCUACAAUAAAAUUAAAUCAAUAAGAACCCACAAAUACAUACACGUAAUAUGUCAUUUGGAGAAACCCAAAUUUUUAUUGCCCUACAACUGAAAGAGAAAGAAUUUCGUAUGAGAGACGCAACAGAAAAAAAAAUUGAAGUACAAAUAAUAUUUCUUAACUUAGCUUGAGGAUUUGUAUCAAAGCAAAGGAGGCAUCAGAAGUGGCUUUGCGUUUUAAAAUGCCUAUCACGCGAAUUUGAUCUUUUAUGCUGUUAAAUCAAUAAAAGAUAUUAGAGAAAAUUAAGCAUUAUUGAAUAAGAGGAUCUAUGAAGAAAAAGAAAUAAAAUAUUAAUGGAAGCAAUAUAGUAGAUUUAACUGGUGCAAUAAUUUGAUGGAGAAAUGAAUGUCACAAAGAAUUAAGAGAGGAAUGGAGGAGAAUUGAGAAAUGGGAGGCGGCACUACUCAACUAAAAAGAG
This 927-nucleotide long non-coding RNA is filed under the name Nicotiana tabacum (common tobacco). RNAcentral describes it as "long non-coding RNA (NTAB_LNC016349)". The record is from RNAcentral. Lineage: Eukaryota; Viridiplantae; Streptophyta; Magnoliopsida; Solanales; Solanaceae.